AAAGUGUGCGUUGCCGUCGUUUAUUCUGUGUGGAGACCUGCUCGCGCGCUGAAGGGUUUCCCCUCGCGAAGAAAAGAUUCGCCGCGUGCGUGCGUUCGCGCUUGUGUGGCUGUCGGUGUGUGUGUGUGUUUACAAAUAUAUUUUGCUGCUCCUGUUUUUUUUUUCGCUUGCUGGCGGUGGGCUCGAACUCGGGCCUUUUGGAUAACUGAGAAGUUGCGUUUAGGGGGGCGGUUCGAUUUCGCGAGUUUUUCACGCGAGUGAAAGAUGAUUAUUCGCGAGUAAUCAGCGAGUGCAUCAGUGAAGAUUAUUCUGAAUCGAUGCCGAGCAUAAAAGGUGCCUAUGGAAAAGAAGGGGUGCGUUCUUGUGCUUUGUGUGUUGUAGUGGUUUAUUGGUGAUUUACUAGCCUACUGUGUAUGUGCCAGCGCACGACAAGAGGAAGAGAGUGCUAAGAAGUGUGUGGCGGCGAAGCCUGCUGAGCUCUUAUCGGAGCUGUUUACUCCCAAGUGUGCAUCUCCAAUCUAAAUUCUUGUCAUAAUCGGUCAAACCCAUCAAAAUUUAAGGAAAGCCAAAAUUCACAUAAUUGUCCCAAGUGCAGUUCGCAAGUGCCCCAGGAAGAAAAUCCAGUUGUGCCAGUUGUGUAAUCUUUAAAAAGAAGAAGAAUUUCUCCAAACCCACAAAAUGUCCUCCCGACUCCAACACCCGGAAGAUCUGGAGCUGCUGGGUGCCGCGACAUCCUGCACGUGAAGCGAUCCGAUCCCGUGUGAAUGCCCCUCCGGCGGAAGCGUAAACGCAAAAUCGUCAACUUGAUCCCUCAAUCGGUAGUACCUAGUAGUAGUAGUAGUAGUGCAGUAGUGCAAGGGUAGUAGUGCCAUCGCGACCGCAGUAGUGUUUUAGUGCCCAAAGCUGGAUCGCUUGCAGCGCGUCAUGUUCCUGCUGGGCUGGGCGCUGGCCCUGGGCCUGGUGGACACCACGAGUCCGCUGAGCGUGGUCCAGCAGCCGCAGCAGCAUCACCAGCAUCCGGUUCCGGUACCGGCGGGCGGAAGCUUUCCCGCGUCCGGAAUCGGCAGCCCGAACGGGUUGAUCAUCGAAGAUUCGCCGAUCGCCCCGUCCUCCCAGUACAUCGUAUCGAAGGACCAGUGGAACGGCGGGGGUGCCGCGGCGGCCGCUGCCGGUGCUGCUCACGGUCACGGCCACGGUGGCCACUCGUCGCAGGCCGGCUCCUCGAGCGGAUCCUCCUCCGGUGGUGGUGGUGGUGGUGAGGAGAACCCUCGCCGGUCCCGGCUCGUUCCCGGUCCUAACGAUACGUUCCGUUCUCUUGUCCCAGGGAUGGCCAACGGUGGCGGUGGGGCGGCCUCCGGUGGCUCCUCGGACUCGGCCCAUCCGUUCAGCACCUUCUUCGACAUCUCGCAGUGGACGCUGAUGGAGUGCUUUUCGCUCCGGAGGACCCAACAUCUGUACUACCAGCUGGGGAAUGGGUUGUUCCUGUUGGCGUUCCUGGCGCCGAACGCACCCUUUGGGAUGUUGUGGCUGCGGUGCGUCGUCAUUGCGGGCUGCGUCCUGCUCAUCAUCUGGGGUUGGCAGGUGGAGUGCACCGUCGAUGUGGUCGUGUGGGCGAGUUUGUUCCUGGCGGUGAACGCGAUCUACGUGGGGGCGCUGCUGUGCAAGCUGAGGCCGGUCAAGUUCGAGAAGGAGAUUGAAGCGGUCUACAUCGCACUGUUCAAGCCGCUGCGCGUAUCGCGGCACCAGUUCAAAAAGGUGCUCAACUGCAUGAAGCUGGUGCGGUCGCUCAAGUACCAGGAGAUCUACGCCCAGGAGAAGGUCACCAAGGUGGACAGCCUGUCGCUGGUGCUGUCUGGGAAACUCGUGGUGUCCCAGAACCAGAAAGCACUGCACAUAGUGUUUCCCCAUCAGUUCCUGGACUCACCGGAGUGGUUCGGAGUGUCCACCGAUGAUUACUUUCAGGUGUCCAUAAUGGCGAUGGAGGAAUCGCGCGUCCUCAUCUGGCACCGGGACAAGCUGAAGCUGUCCAUCAUGGCGGAACCCUUUCUGCAGGCCGUGUUCGACCACAUCCUGGGCCGGGACGUCGUCAAGAAGCUGAUGCAGGUGACGCAGGUCAGCGAAACGAUGGCCCAGAGCAACGGGUAUAUCUCGGCCGGGUACGGGGACGACGCCGAGGACAAACCGAUGCUGGUGAUGAAGUCGGGCAAAUCCGGCAGCGACAACGGCGGCCACGGCAUCACGGCCCUCAUUAAUCGGCAGCUGCAGGAAGAAAGUGUGCCCCUACUGCUGAGUGCCAGCCCGACGCCUCUGAUGUCGCUGCACAUGCGCCUGCUGCACUCGACCGAGAACAAGUUCAUCAAGAAGAUCUACGACGUGUGACGGCGGAUUCUGUGGACGGGCCCUCCAAGCCAACGACCCAAUCACCCAACAACCCUUGUCUAGUCGCGCCCCCACGCUGCAAUUUUAUCGUUUUAAGCUUCUUUUUUUCCUUCUUAGUUUUGUAAAUUUUCGAUUAAUUUUUUGAGCGGCUUUUUGAACCGAGCAACGCAACGAAGUCAUCGAAGGGAGGGGCCGUCCACCGAGCACGCAACGAACGAACACACUCCCUCACUCUUUCGAUGUGUUUUUGUUUACCGCCUUCUUUGAUACACUGAUUUUUGCAGCGGACCCGAACGCGUGGCGCCUCGGCCGGAUCGACGAGGCGGACCACGAGACGGCCGUUUAAUAUUAGCCCUGGCGGUGUGCCCCCGACGACGCCCUCUACGGCGGUUCCAUCGGUGGCAUCGAUCCCGACUACGACGAUCCGGAAGAACUGGACGAACUAGGAACCCGGUGUGGCAAGUACCGGCCGCGACGAGUGCCUCCGGUGCCGGUGCCGUUCCCAUCCGGUGGGGACAUCCUGCGGGGCAUCAUCCCGCUGGACGUGGACUGGACCGCGCUGGAGCGGACGCACCGGCAGACGGCGGUUUGAGGUGGAGGAGGUGGAGGAGGAGGGACACCGGCUAGUGUUGCGGCGGGGCAGGAAUUUAGGAUAGAAGAAUAUUUAGGAUUUUAGAAUAUACAUAAAAUGUAGUCAUCGUGUACUAGAGAAAGAAGGAAAGAGGAAUUUGUUCAAAGAAGGUAACAAGAUAGAAGAAGAAGAAGUCUCUUAUUUUCGAAAGCUGUGCUUUUUACUCAAAGAAAAAUUUAACUGUGUAUAAAACUAUUGUGUGUGUUGAGCGAGAACGGAAAACAAAGAAAGGAAGAAUCGUUUUUAGCGCCUAAAAAUAUAAAUUAUAAAAAAAAACUAGCUGAGCGUCGCCGUUUAUAGUUUCUAAAGAUUGUAAUGUUUGUACAGAUUAAAGAUUAAAUUAACAAAAUAAAUGUAACUGUAAAUUUAUAUGAAUUGAAAUAGUCAUAAUCGAAAAUAAAAUGUUCAUUUUUUCGACUUCAAUCCCAGCAAAAAAAACUAAGCAGAGAACUUACAAGCGUUUAUACUCCUAGCUAAACGUUCCUAGGUACUGAUAAAUUGUCGUUACUAAUGAUGGGAUAAAGAGGAAAAGCUAACUUGCUGUUGAGUAGAACGGACCAGCGACUGAUUUGCAUUGUUUGAAUGAUAUGAAAGGAAAUAAAUUGAAAAGUUUUACUUGCGUUCCAUACUGA
Culex quinquefasciatus (southern house mosquito) is the source of this 3642-nucleotide RNA transcript. RefSeq lists it as uncharacterized. Lineage: Eukaryota; Metazoa; Arthropoda; Insecta; Diptera; Culicidae. The record is from RefSeq and is a predicted model, not a curated record. The transcript is spliced from 8 exons.